RNAcentral lists this ribosomal RNA (602 nucleotides) under Anaerostipes hadrus. RNAcentral's name for it is "bacterial SSU rRNA". It matches the Rfam family "Bacterial small subunit ribosomal RNA", at positions 1 to 601 of the family's 1533-position model. The record is from RNAcentral. Lineage: Bacteria; Bacillati; Bacillota; Clostridia; Lachnospirales; Lachnospiraceae.
GAACAUGAGAGUUUGAUCCUGGCUCAGGAUGAACGCUGGCGGCGUGCUUAACACAUGCAAGUCGAACGAAACACCUUAUUUGAUUUUCUUCGGAACUGAAGAUUUGGUGAUUGAGUGGCGGACGGGUGAGUAACGCGUGGGUAACCUGCCCUGUACAGGGGGAUAACAGUUAGAAAUGACUGCUAAUACCGCAUAAGACCACAGCACCGCAUGGUGCAGGGGUAAAAACUCCGGUGGUACAGGAUGGACCCGCGUCUGAUUAGCUGGUUGGUGAGGUAACGGCUCACCAAGGCGACGAUCAGUAGCCGGCUUGAGAGAGUGAACGGCCACAUUGGGACUGAGACACGGCCCAAACUCCUACGGGAGGCAGCAGUGGGGAAUAUUGCACAAUGGGGGAAACCCUGAUGCAGCGACGCCGCGUGAGUGAAGAAGUAUCUCGGUAUGUAAAGCUCUAUCAGCAGGGAAGAAAAUGACGGUACCUGACUAAGAAGCCCCGGCUAACUACGUGCCAGCAGCCGCGGUAAUACGUAGGGGGCAAGCGUUAUCCGGAAUUACUGGGUGUAAAGGGUGCGUAGGUGGUAUGGCAAGUCAGAAGUGAAAAC